AGAAUCAACGCUGGCGGCGUGCCUAACACAUGCAAGUCGAACGAGAAAGUGGAGCAAUCCAUGAGUACAGUGGCGCACGGGUGAGUAACACGUGACUACCUACCCUCGAGUGGGGAAUAACCUCGGGAAACCGGGGCUAAUACCGCAUAACAUCUACGGAUCAAAUGCGAAAGCAGCUUGAGGAGGGGGUCGCGGCCGAUUAGCUAGUUGGUGAGGUAAUGGCCCACAAGGCAAUGAUCGGUAGCCGGCCUGAGAGGGCGCACGGCCACACUGGAACUGAAACACGGUCCAGACUCCUACGGGAGGCAGCAGUGGGGAAUUUUGCGCAAUGGGGGAAACCCUGACGCAGCAACGCCGCGUGGAGGAUGAAGCCCCUUGGGGUGUAAACUCCUUUCGAUCGGGACGAUUAUGACGGUACCGGAAGAAGAAGCACCGGCUAACUCUGCGCCAGCAGCCGC
This 458-nucleotide ribosomal RNA is filed under the name uncultured bacterium. Its description in RNAcentral is "SSU rRNA". It matches the Rfam family "Bacterial small subunit ribosomal RNA", at positions 26 to 518 of the family's 1533-position model. The record is from RNAcentral.